Molecule: ribosomal RNA, 253 nt
Filed under: uncultured bacterium
Lineage: Bacteria
Description: partial 16S ribosomal RNA
Rfam family: Bacterial small subunit ribosomal RNA
Source: RNAcentral
GACGUAGGGCGCGAGCGUUGUCCGGAUUUAUUGGGCGUAAAGAGCUCGUAGGCGGCUUGUUGCGUCAGCUGUGAAAACCCGCAGCUUAACUGUGGGCUUGCAGCUGAUACGGGCGGGCUAGAGUUCGGUAGGGGAGACUGGAAUUCCUGGUGUAGCGGUGAAAUGCGCAGAUAUCAGGAGGAACACCGGUGGCGAAGGCGGGUCUCUGGGCCGAUACUGACGCUGAGGAGCGAAAGCGUGGGGAGCGAACAGG